GAUGAACGCUGGCGGCGUGCCUAAUACAUGCAAGUCGAGCGAACAGACGAGGAGCUUGCUCCUCUGACGUUAGCGGCGGACGGGUGAGUAACACGUGGAUAACCUACCUAUAAGACUGGGAUAACUUCGGGAAACCGGAGCUAAUACCGGAUAAUAUAUUGAACCGCAUGGUUCAAUAGUGAAAGACGGUUUUGCUGUCACUUAUAGAUGGAUCCGCGCCGCAUUAGCUAGUUGGUAAGGUAACGGCUUACCAAGGCGACGAUGCGUAGCCGACCUGAGAGGGUGAUCGGCCACACUGGAACUGAGACACGGUCCAGACUCCUACGGGAGGCAGCAGUAGGGAAUCUUCCGCAAUGGGCGAAAGCCUGACGGAGCAACGCAGCGUGAGUGAUGAAGGUCUUCGGAUCGUAAAACUCUGUUAUUAGGGAAGAACAAAUGUGUAAGUAACUAUGCACGUCUGGACGGUACCUAAUCAGAAAGCCACGGCUAACUACGU
RNAcentral lists this ribosomal RNA (496 nucleotides) under uncultured bacterium. RNAcentral's name for it is "partial 16S ribosomal RNA". It matches the Rfam family "Bacterial small subunit ribosomal RNA", at positions 28 to 506 of the family's 1533-position model. The record is from RNAcentral.